Pelobates cultripes (western spadefoot toad) is the source of this 874-nucleotide non-coding RNA. The record is from the annotation of a GenBank genome assembly. Lineage: Eukaryota; Metazoa; Chordata; Amphibia; Anura; Pelobatidae.
UCUACACAUGUAGUGGGAGUGGAAACUCACUAUGCCUACUUGGGAAGAGAUUUUUGGGGUUAUCUCUGCCUUGACGUUUGUAUUUAACCCUCAUCCGAACAUAGCUUUACUUCAUUGUGGUUUAACAAUUUUAUCAUCAACACUGAGGAGUUUGGUCAUUCACGUGCUGUGGCCAUGAAGCUUAUAAUUAAAUAUAUAAGUUGGGGAGAGGUAGAAAAACAGAUUGACCAUGUAGCUAUGAUGGAAAAAGUAUUUUUUUUAUCUCUCCGCGUAAAUUAGAAGGAUUUUAUAAGAUAUGGCAUCCUUGGUACACUAAAUUCCCAGAAAGGAAUUCGUUUCCUGUUAGCUUUACCAAGGAACCGAAUGACUAACGGAGGACCAGAGUAGGGUGCACAUUGAAAAUUGUGAAGGUUGCCUGUCUAUAAAAGGUUUUGUUGUUAGGUAUAGGAAAAGUAGUGCUCCUUGUUACUAAAUUUAUGGUAGGGGUUUUUCGCAAUUGUUUCUUUUGCGAUUCCUUGUUGAUAAAUAUUAAAUGCAGUGGUCUUUACUACAAUAUUUAGCAGAGAUUAACACUUAAAAGGCUGCAUAAUAAGUGUCACAAUACCCAUCAGGUAAAUAGCCUGAGAUGUCUGCAUUACAUGAACAUAUACUUUUGGGUGGCAGUUGUUUUAUGUGAUGACUAUUAGGCUUACAAGACGAACAUACCAACUUCUAUAAUUGCCCGACACUGAACUCACAUUUUACUCCCUGUAUUUUGUGACUACCAUAAAUAAAUCGGGACACAAAAAUGAAUUUAUUCUGCAUUACUUUUCAUAAGCUGCACUAAUUAUAAACAUAUUAUUAUUGCCAAUACUGUGGGGAAAGAAAGGUUUUU